This 442-nucleotide ribosomal RNA is filed under the name uncultured bacterium. RNAcentral describes it as "partial 16S ribosomal RNA". It matches the Rfam family "Bacterial small subunit ribosomal RNA", at positions 338 to 795 of the family's 1533-position model. The record is from RNAcentral.
CCUACGUGUGGCAGCAGUGGGGAAUAUUGGGCAAUGGGCGCAAGCCUGACCCAGCAAUGCCGCGUGAAGGAAGAAGGCUUUCGGGUUGUAAACUUCUUUGACAGGGGAAGAGCAGAAGACGGUACCCUGAAAACAAGCCACGGCUAACUACGUUCCAGCAGCCGAGGUAAUACGUAGGUGGCAAGCGUUUUCCGGAUUUACUGGGUGUAAAGGGCGUGUAGCCGGGAAGGCAAGUCAGAUGUGAAAUCAUGAGGCUCAACCUCCGAAUUGCAUUUGAAACUGUUUUUCUUGAGUACUGGAGAGGCAGACGGAAGUCCUGGUGUAGCGGUGAAAUGCGUAGAUAUAAGGAGGAACACCAGUGGCGAAGGCGGUCUGCUGGAAAGCAACUGACGGUGAGGCGAGAAAGCGUGGGGAGCAAACAGGAUUAGAUACCCGGGUAGUA